RNAcentral lists this ribosomal RNA (219 nucleotides) under uncultured bacterium. RNAcentral describes it as "partial 16S ribosomal RNA". It matches the Rfam family "Bacterial small subunit ribosomal RNA", at positions 524 to 740 of the family's 1533-position model. The record is from RNAcentral.
UACGUAGGGUGCGAGCGUUAAUCGGAAUUACUGGGCGUAAAGCGUGCGCAGGCGGUUUUGUAAGCCAGAUGUGAAAUCCCCGGGCUUAACCUGGGAAUGGCAUUUGGGACUGCAAGGCUUGAGUGCGGCAGAGGAGACUGGAAUUCCUGGUGUAGCAGUGAAAUGCGUAGAUAUCAGGAGGAACACCGAUGGCGAAGGCGGGCUCUCGUGGGCCGAUAC